GGCUGGUCCAAGUGUGAUGGUGCUCACAACUAUGAUCACAACCAGUUAUAGAUUUCCAUACUCAUUCUCCAAUCCCAAUGCUUCACUUGACUAGCCUUUA
Molecule: unclassified non-coding RNA, 100 nt
Organism: Otolemur garnettii (small-eared galago)
Lineage: Eukaryota; Metazoa; Chordata; Mammalia; Primates; Galagidae
Rfam family: Y RNA
About the family: Y RNAs are components of the Ro ribonucleoprotein particle (Ro RNP), in association with Ro60 and La proteins. The Y RNAs and Ro60 and La proteins are well conserved, but the function of the Ro RNP is not known. In humans the RNA component can be one of four small RNAs -- hY1, hY3, hY4 and hY5.
Source: Ensembl